Long non-coding RNA from Gasterosteus aculeatus aculeatus (three-spined stickleback), 1889 nucleotides. The record is from Ensembl. Lineage: Eukaryota; Metazoa; Chordata; Actinopteri; Perciformes; Gasterosteidae.
CCCCCACACCUCCCGCUUCGCAUCAUCCAGACAACUGUGACUGUUUUAAUUCUGACCGCUGAUUAGGCCGAUUCAAUUAAGUCCUCCACGCUGUCUCCAACAGUGGAGCAGCGUGGGGUAUUUGGACUAUUUAUCAAGCUACAGCCUUUAAUGGCCCUUUAAUUACAGACCCGGUUGGGCUACGGGCGCCCGGGUGGAACCCGGGGGUCUGAGUGGGACGCGGGGCCCGAGGUUCUGACCGAGGGGGGGUGCUGGCUGGCCUCUCGGAGGAGGAUUGUCACCUUCAGACAUUUGACUCGAAUGACUCAAGAGAUAAAGAUCAGAUCUGUAAUCAGAAAUAUCUCCGUUUCCCACCCCGAGGCUUGUGGGAAGGAAGUUGAACUCGCCCUCGAGCGGCUCGUGUUGAUGACAUCAUCACCGGGUCAAUCUCCCGCUCUAAUGGCGACUAAUGGCGUGAUGAGAGGAGCAGCCCCAUGCCGUUGGGAACCUGAUAAUCCCACUUUGUUCCCUUUGGAUUUGUUAAGAAAAGCCCCCCCCCCCUCCGCCUCCCCCCUCGGUAGCUGAUCCCCUUCGUGUUGCAGCGACACAAUGCCCCCACCCCCCCACCCGCCGGGGCCCCGUCCACCUCUUAUUCUCCACCUCUCCCAUUUGACGGGGGGGCAACGUAUUAUUUUAUUCACAAUUAGCAGAAAAGCCUGGAGGUGAUCACUUCCUCUGCAGAAGGUGUGCAAACAUUCGUGGGGGGGCAGGGAGGCAGGAGGGAGGCAGGAGGGAGGGACAAACAGACAGGAAGUGGAAGUCUGGUUUCGUUAGCUGAUCUUAUGAGCGUGCAUGGAUUUGCUCCAACAACAACAACAACAACAAAAGACCCCAAAGGAGUCCCCCCCCCACACAGCUCCUCCCACUAUGCUCGGCCUCAUUAUGGCGUCUCCAGUUCAAAAGGGAGGGAGGGGGGCUUUGAUGAACCUGUCCUCCCACUUCCUGCUGGACUCUCACAGUUUCUGCCAAAUGCUUAAAUCCCCCCAGUGUCAGAGAGCAGGGGAAGAAUAGGUGAGGGGGGAGUCGGGGGAGGAAAGGUGAGAUCUGAGACCAGGGUCAUGGACGGAGUCUGAUACAAAAAGAGACCAGAGGGUCAAAUCAUUUCUUAAAAGGUUCCUGAUACUUUAAAUCAGCUCAUUGCAGCUUAUUAAAUGAUUCUGAUCAUUAGAUAAUAACAACUGUGAAACAUUAUUAUUUAAUGACAAUAAUCAAAAGCAGCUGCUCUGGUCAGAAGGUGGACUAAGAAGUAGACGUAUGACUCACUAGAAGGAAUAUUAUCACAGAUAAAGAGUUUAGAAGCUGAAUUAUCAUGUUUAUUACAGUGAAUGAAGGUCUCUAUGCGCCUCAGUGAUGAUCGAUACUGUUCAUCUGCCACGAAGACGACUGACUUCUAAUAAGUCAUUAUCCUGCAAAACAUCCAAUUAAUCAAUACUUCACCUGAUUUUUUAAUCGGGAUUAAAAGUUUGUCUUUCUUAAAACUAAAUCGUAGAAGUAAUGAGUUGUUCAAUUCUUAACUGUAUUUUAAACAGAAGCUGCUCCCAUGUGAUCGUGUGGAGGUGGAACAUGUUGAACUAGCGACUCUUCUUGUCCAACAUUUAGCCGUCUUUUAGGGACACAAUGGUGGUCCACUGCACGUUGAGUUGGAAGUAGCCUUGCAGCUAGCUUAGCCUAGCGGCUAGCUUAGCCUAGCGGUGCGUAAAGUGGUCCGUUUGCCACUCUUCUUCUGUUUGUUUUGCUUCCAAAGCAAAAAGCGUCCACAUCUUCAGCGACCGUCUGGCUUUAUCCGACCUGACUGACGACAGCACGCGGAGAUCUUGUUUCUUCGCUUUUCUUUACUUCCGGCAAACUGG